Molecule: ribosomal RNA, 447 nt
Filed under: uncultured bacterium
Lineage: Bacteria
Description: bacterial SSU rRNA
Rfam family: Bacterial small subunit ribosomal RNA
Source: RNAcentral
UGGGGAAUAUUGGACAAUGGGCGAAAGCCUGAUCCAGCCAUGCCGCGUGAGUGACGAAGGCCUUAGGGUUGUAAAACUCUUUCGUCGGGGACGAUAAUGACGGUACCCGAAGAAGAAGCUCCGGCUAACUUCGUGCCAGCAGCCGCGGUAAUACGAAGGGAGCUAGCGUUGUUCGGAAUCACUGGGCGUAAAGCGCACGUAGGCGGAUUUGUCAGUCAGGGGUGAAAUCCCGGGGCUCAACCUCGGAACUGCCCUUGAUACAGCAAGUCUUGAGUUCGAGAGAGGUGGGUGGAAUUCCUAGUGUAGAGGUGAAAUUCGUAGAUAUUAGGAAGAACACCGGUGGCGAAGGCGGCCCACUGGCUCGAUACUGACGCUGAGGUGCGAAAGCGUGGGGAGCAAACAGGAUUAGAUACCCCCGUAGUCCCUGAGCGGGCUGGCAAGGCGCAU